ACGGAAGGCAGCAGUGAGGAAUAUUGGUCAAUGGACGAGAGUCUGAACCAGCCAAGUAGCGUGCAGGAUGACGGCCCUAUGGGUUGUAAACUGCUUUUGUACGGGAAUAAAGUGACCUACGUGUAGGUUUUUGCAUGUACCGUAAGAAUAAGGACCGGCUAAUUCCGUGCCAGCAGCCGCGGUAAUACGGAAGGUCCGGGCGUUAUCCGGAUUUAUUGGGUUUAAAGGGAGCGUAGGCGGGCUUUUAAGUCAGCUGUGAAAUCCUGCGGCUCAACCGUGGAAUUGCAGUUGAUACUGGGAGUCUUGAGUGCACGCAGGGAUGCCGGAAUUCGUUGUGUAGCGGUGAAAUGCUUAGAUAUGACGAAGAACUCCGAUCGCGAAGGCAAGUGUCCGGAGUGCGACUGACGCUGAGGCUCGAAAGUGUGGGUAUCAAACAGGAUUAGAUACCCUGGUA
This 454-nucleotide ribosomal RNA is filed under the name uncultured Alloprevotella sp. Its description in RNAcentral is "partial 16S ribosomal RNA". It matches the Rfam family "Bacterial small subunit ribosomal RNA", at positions 341 to 792 of the family's 1533-position model. The record is from RNAcentral. Lineage: Bacteria; Pseudomonadati; Bacteroidota; Bacteroidia; Bacteroidales; Prevotellaceae.